ACUACCCGCUGAACUUAAGCAUAUCAAUAAGCGGAGGAAAAGAAACUAACAAGGAUUCCCCUAGUAACUGCGAGUGAAGCGGGAAGAGCUCAAAUUUUGAAUCUGGCAGUCCUUGGCUGUCCGAGUUGUAAUCUAGAGAAGUGUUUUCCGCGCUGGACCGUGUAUAAGUCUCCUGGAAGGGAGCGUCAUAGAGGGUGAGAAUCCCGUCUUUGACACGGACUACCAGUGCUAUGUGAUGCGCUCUCGACGAGUCGAGUUGUUUGGGAAUGCAGCUCAAAUUGGGUGGUAAACUCCAUCUAAAGCUAAAUACAGGCGAGAGACCGAUAGCGAACAAGUACCGUGAGGGAAAGAUGAAAAGAACUUUGGAAAGAGAGUUAAACAGUACGUGAAAUUGCUGAAAGGGAAACGCUUGAUGUCAGUCGCGUCGGCCGGGGAUCAACCUUGCUUCUCGCUCGGUGUAUUUCCUGGUCGACGGGUCAGCAUCAGUUUCGGUCGCCGUACAAGGGCGAGGGGAACGUGGCACUCCUCGGAGUGUGUUAUAGCCUUUCGUCGCAUGCGGUGGUCGGGACUGAGGAGCUCAGCACGGCUUCCGCUUGUGCUCAGGAUGCUGGCAUAAUGGCCUUAAGCGACCCGU
This 634-nucleotide ribosomal RNA is filed under the name Boletus roseopurpureus. RNAcentral's name for it is "eukaryotic LSU rRNA". It matches the Rfam family "Eukaryotic large subunit ribosomal RNA", at positions 20 to 652 of the family's 3401-position model. The record is from RNAcentral. Lineage: Eukaryota; Fungi; Basidiomycota; Agaricomycetes; Boletales; Boletaceae.